This 620-nucleotide ribosomal RNA is filed under the name Drosophila griseolineata. RNAcentral's name for it is "partial 16S ribosomal RNA". It matches the Rfam family "Bacterial large subunit ribosomal RNA", at positions 1845 to 2814 of the family's 2925-position model. The record is from RNAcentral. Lineage: Eukaryota; Metazoa; Arthropoda; Insecta; Diptera; Drosophilidae.
UUAAAGUCUGUCCUGCCCACUGAAAUUUUUUAAAUGGCCGCAGUAUUCUAACUGUGCAAAGGUAGCAUAAUCAUUAGUCUUUUAAUUGAAGGCUGGAAUGAAUGGUUGGACGAAAUAUUAACUGUUUCAUUUUAAUUUUUUAUAGAAUUUUAUUUUUUAGUCAAAAAGCUAAAAUAUAUUUAAAAGACGAGAAGACCCUAUAAAUCUUUAUAUUUUAUUUAUUUUAAUUUUAAAGAUUAUUUUAAUUUUAAUAAAUUAAAAUAUUUUAUUGGGGUGAUAUUAAAAUUUAAAAAACUUUUAAUUUUAAAAACCAUUAAUUUAUGAGUAAUUGAUCCAUUAAUAAUGAUUAAAAAUUUAAGUUACUUUAGGGAUAACAGCGUAAUUUUUUUGGAGAGUUCAUAUCGAUAAAAAAGAUUGCGACCUCGAUGUUGGAUUAAGAUAUAAUUUUGGGUGUAGCCGUUCAAAUUUUAAGUCUGUUCGACUUUUAAAUUCUUACAUGAUCUGAGUUCAAACCGGCGUAAGCCAGGUUGGUUUCUAUCUUUAAAAAAUUAAAAUAUUUUAGUACGAAAGGACCAAAUAUUUAAAUAAUUAUAUUUUAAAUAAGAAUAUUAUUAAUAUUA